CGCGAGAUUAGCUUGCUUUAGAAGAUGACUGCAAGCAGGAGAUGAUAAACUGAAUGCAUGAUAAUGAAGGAAGCCUUCUACCAAAUGUGAAAUUCAUGAACCCUGGGUCAGGGAUUCCGGACCCCUGGGUAAGGCCAAUGUGGCCUCAUAGUGAAAAUGUUUCACUUGCUUGCUCAUGCACAGCAGUGUCAAGAUCCAUGCAAUGUUUGUGAAUGUCAUGUACAUUGAAUAGACUUCAAAAAUAUUUUAAAAUAGAUCAAGAUCCAAGCAACUGAGGACACUGGAAAUUGUGGCCAGUAACACAACGGUUGCCAUGACAAUUUAGUAUUUUGAAUUAAAAUAUAGUCUAAAUGAGAAUCAUGCCUGUUGAAGUGUAAUAUGAUU
Molecule: long non-coding RNA, 384 nt
Organism: Magallana angulata
Lineage: Eukaryota; Metazoa; Mollusca; Bivalvia; Ostreida; Ostreidae
Exons: 3
Source: RefSeq, a predicted model, not a curated record